GCCCCUGACUCUGGGAAAAGCGCCGGAAACGGCGUCUAAUACUGGAUAUGUGACGGGACCGCACGGUCUCCGUCCGGACAGAUUUUCCGGUCCGGGAUGGGCUCGCGGCCUAUCAGCUUGUUGGUGAGGUAAUGGCUCACCAAGGCGUCGACGGGUAGCCGGCCUGAGAGGGUGACCGGCCACACUGGGACUGAGACACGGCCCAGACUCCUACGGGAGGCAGCAGUGGGGAAUAUUGCACAAUGGGCGAAAGCCUGAUGCAGCAACGCCGCGUGAGGGAUGACGGCCUUCGGGUUGUAAACCUCUUUUAGCAGGGAAGAAGCGAAAGUGACGGUACCUGCAGAAAAAGCGCCGGCUAACUACGUGCCAGCAGCCGCGGUAAUACGUAGGGCGCAAGCGUUAUCCGGAAUUAUUGGGCGUAAAGAGCUCGUAGGCGGUUUGUCGCGUCUGCUGUGAAAUCCCGAGGCUCAACCUCGGGCCUGCAGUGGGUACGGGCAGACUAGAGUGCGGUAGGGGAGAUUGGAAUUCCUGGUGUAGCGGUGGAAUGCGCAGAUAUCAGGAGGAACACCGAUGGCGAAGGCAGAUCUCUGGGCCGUAACUGACGCUGAGGAGCGAAAGGGUGGGGAGCAAACAGGCUUAGAUACCCUGGUAGUCCACCCCGUAAACGUUGGGAACUAGUUGUGGGGUCCAUUCCACGGAUUCCGUGACGCAGCUAACGCAUUAAGUUCCCCGCCUGGGGAGUACGGCCGCAAGGGCUAAAACUCAAAGGAAUUGACGGGGACCCGCACAAGCGGCGGAGCAUGCGGAUUAAUUCGAUGCAACGCGAAGAACCUUACCAAGGCUUGACAUAUACGAGAACGGGCCAGAAAUGGUCAACUCUUUGGACACUCGUAAACAGGUGGUGCAUGGUUGUCGUCAGCUCGUGUCGUGAGAUGUUGGGUUAAGUCCCGCAACGAGCGCAACCCUCGUUCUAUGUUGCCAGCACGUAAUGGUGGGAACUCAUGGGAUACUGCCGGGGUCAACUCGGAGGAAGGUGGGGAUGACGUCAAAUCAUCAUGCCCCUUAUGUCUUGGGCUUCACGCAUGCUACAAUGGCCGGUACAAAGGGCUGCAAUACCGUGAGGUGGGGCGAAUCCCAAAAAGCCGGUCCCAGUUCGGAUUGAGGUCUGCAACUCGACCUCAUGAAGUCGGAGUCGCUAGUAAUCGCAGAUCAGCAACGUGCGGGUGAAUACGUUCCCGGGUCUUGUACACA
This 1251-nucleotide ribosomal RNA is filed under the name Microbacterium sp. GGC-P15B. Its description in RNAcentral is "bacterial SSU rRNA". It matches the Rfam family "Bacterial small subunit ribosomal RNA", at positions 128 to 1389 of the family's 1533-position model. Lineage: Bacteria; Bacillati; Actinomycetota; Actinomycetes; Micrococcales; Microbacteriaceae. The record is from RNAcentral.